GGUGAACGCUGGCGGCGUGCCUAACACAUGCAAGUCGAGCGGUGCAGUUUGAAGCUUCGGUGGAAAGCUGCAUAGCGGCGGACGGGUGAGGAAAACGUAGGAACGUGCCCCUUGGAGUUGGAUAGCCACGGGAAACUGUGGGUAAACCGACAUAGACUCGAGAGAGUAAAGGCCGAAAGGCGCCAAGGGAGCGGCCUGCGGCCCAUCAGGUAGUUGGUAGUGUAAAGGACUACCAAGCCGACGACGGGUAGCCGGUCUGAGAGGAUGGCCGGCCACAAGGGCACUGAGAGACGGGCCCUACUCCUACGGGAGGCAGCAGUGGGGAAUCUUCCGCAAUGGACGAAAGUCUGACGGAGCAACGCCGCGUGAGUGAAGAAGGUUUUCGGAUCGUAAAGCUCUGUUGUUUGAGACGAAUGUGCAGACUUUGAAUAAGGGUUUGUAAUGACGGUAUUAAACGAGAAAGCCACGGCUAACUACGUG
This 480-nucleotide ribosomal RNA is filed under the name uncultured bacterium. RNAcentral's name for it is "bacterial SSU rRNA". It matches the Rfam family "Bacterial small subunit ribosomal RNA", at positions 28 to 507 of the family's 1533-position model. The record is from RNAcentral.